RNAcentral lists this long non-coding RNA (1525 nucleotides) under Octopus vulgaris (common octopus). The record is from RNAcentral. Lineage: Eukaryota; Metazoa; Mollusca; Cephalopoda; Octopoda; Octopodidae.
GGGAAAAAGAAAAUUUGAGAGAAAAAAGAGAAAGGAGGAAAAGAAGAGAAUGAGGCUCAAGAGUUUAAUUUAGAAUACUUGUUAUUGUUAUUGUUAUUAUUAUUGUAAUAUUUUCAUUUAAGGAGUGACGACGACGUUAUAAGCUGCUUCGAACUUUGUGUGGAGUGAAAACUGCUAUAAUUAAAGAGAGAUUAAAGCGACAGGGAAAAAUACAUACAUGUAUAUAUUAUUUGUAUUAUAUCAUAUUAUAUAUCCAUCCCUCUCUUUAUCAAGAAUUAAAAAAAAAACGUUAAAAAUAAAAGCGUUUAAAUAGAUUUAGCCGCGAUAUAGCCAGCAGCUUAUAAAGAGAUUUAGUAAUAUAAACCCGUUUAUAAACUAAACUACCCCUUAUUUCAGUCCGUUUGCAUGGUGUUUUCAACGAGCGCCCGGGCUGGCCAGUCAAUUUACAUUUAGCCAAAGCAAGCCAGCCACUCAUUUCAGAGUCUUCGUUCAUUCAACAGCCAGCCAGCCAGCCUGUUAACUACUCAGUCAGUCAGUCAACAAAAGCGCUCUCUCCAUAUGCCAUUGUGAAUCUAUCUAUCUGUCUGUCUAUCUAUCUAUCUAUCUAUCUAUCUAUCUAUCUAUCUAUCUAUCUAUCUAUCUAUCUAUCUAUCGUUAUUUAUCCAUCACUAUUUAUCUAUUUAUCUAUCUGUCCAUCUAUAUAUUUGUUUAAAACUGUCUAUAUCCGUUUAGAAAUCUAUAUCGAUCUAUACCUAUCUAUAUUUACAUAUCUAUAUGUCUAUCUCUCAGUCUAUCUGUCCAUCCAUCCAUCCACAUAUCCAUCCAUCUAUAACUACAACAAUCUAGUUAUUUGCAUAACUAUCCUAAGUGUGUGAGUGUGUGUGUAUAUGUAUUUGUAUAGCCCGCUAGCUACUGAUAUAUCCAUCUAUCCAUCUAUCGCUCUACUUAGCUACGAAGCGACCAUUCUACUCCCACUUUUACCUUAACCAAUGUGUACUACUCUCAGUUCGCCCGACAAGUUAUAUUUCCUCAGUCUAUAAACUGACCUAUCAAUGGAAGUGUACAGUGGACGAGCUGUGAGGUUUAUGGGAAAUAUUUAUUACACCCGUUACUCUCUUCUACACGAGACAACACAGCAACUUCAUCCUCGCACAGAUUUCGAUUUCAACCAUAAUCAGUGAAACUAAAACAACAACAACAACAACAACAAACAGAGAAAGCAACACUGUAGCAACAACAACAACAGCAACAAUAACUACCAUACCAAACAGUUGGAGUUUACAGGACAGCUUCCAGGUGAACGCUACUGAGAUAUUUUAGCUGUUUCUUUACACAAAAACCAACAUUUACGUGCUUUUUUUUUUCAAAAAAAAAAAAAGAAAAGGUCUUUUAUUCGGCGUGUCGUGGGAUUUGCUUCUUAUUUUCUGUUAAAUCUACUGCUUCAUUUUAAAGAAACAAAAAAUUAUAAGCAACUUCUAAAAAAUGUAUUUCUUUUAUUGGAUAUUUCUUCCCAUCUAUGCAGGUA